Molecule: ribosomal RNA, 497 nt
Filed under: uncultured bacterium
Lineage: Bacteria
Description: partial 16S ribosomal RNA
Rfam family: Bacterial small subunit ribosomal RNA
Source: RNAcentral
GAUGAACGCUGGCGGCGUGCCUAAUACAUGCAAGUCGAGCGAACGGACGAGAAGCUUGCUUCUCUGAUGUUAGCGGCGGACGGGUGAGUAACACGUGGAUAACCUACCUAUAAGACUGGGGUAACUUCGGGAAACCGGAGCUAAUACCGGAUAAUAUUUUGAACCGCAUGGUUCAAAAGUGAAAGACGGUCUUGCUGUCACUUAUAGAUGGAUCCGCGCUGCAUUAGCUAGUUGGUAAGGUAACGGCUUACCAAGGCAACGAUGCAUAGCCGACCUGAGAGGGUGACCGGCCACACUGGAACUGAGACACGGUCCAGACUCCUACGGGAGGCAGCAGUAGGGAAUCUUCCGCAAUGGGCGAAAGCCUGACGGAGCAACGCCGCGUGAGUGAUGAAGGUCUUCGGAUCGUAAAACUCUGUUAUUAGAGAAGAACAUAUGUGUAAGUAACUGUGCACAUCUUGACGGUACCUAAUCAGAAAGCCACGGCUAACUACGUG